UGGGGAAUAUUGCACAAUGGGCGAAAGCCUGAUGCAGCAACGCCGCGUGAGUGAUGAAGGCCUUCGGGUUGUAAAGCUCUGUCUUUUGGGACGAUAAUGACGGUACCAAAGGAGGAAGCCACGGCUAACUACGUGCCAGCAGCCGCGGUAAUACGUAGGUGGCAAGCGUUGUCCGGAUUUACUGGGCGUAAAGGAUGCGUAGGCGGAUUUUUAAGUGAGAUGUGAAAUACCCGGGCUUAACUUGGGUGCUGCAUUUCAAACUGGGAAUCUAGAGUGCGGGAGAGGAGAAUGGAAUUCCUAGUGUAGCGGUGAAAUGCGUAGAGAUUAGGAAGAACACCAGUGGCGAAGGCGAUUCUCUGGACCGUAACUGACGCUGAGGCAUGAAAGCGUGGGUAGCAAACAGGAUUAGAUACCCUGGUAGUCCACGCCGUAAAACGAUGAGUACUAGGUGUAGGAGGUAUCGACCCCUUCUGUGCCGCAGUUAACACAAUAAGUACUCCGCCUGGGAAGUACGAUUGCAAGAUUAAAACUCAAAGGAAUUGAC
Molecule: ribosomal RNA, 544 nt
Filed under: uncultured bacterium
Lineage: Bacteria
Description: partial 16S ribosomal RNA
Rfam family: Bacterial small subunit ribosomal RNA
Source: RNAcentral